Molecule: transfer RNA, 85 nt
Filed under: Candidatus Vogelbacteria bacterium RIFOXYD2_FULL_44_9
Lineage: Bacteria; Candidatus Vogeliibacteriota
Description: tRNA-Leu
Rfam family: tRNA
About the family: Transfer RNA (tRNA) molecules are approximately 80 nucleotides in length. Their secondary structure includes four short double-helical elements and three loops (D, anti-codon, and T loops).
Source: RNAcentral
GGACACGUGGCGGAAUUGGUAUACGCGUACGUCUCAGAAGCGUAUGGAGCAAUCCAUGGGAGUUCAAGUCUCCCCGUGUCCACAA